UCUCCGUUGGUGAACCAGCGGAGGGAUCAUUACAGAGUUAUCUAACUCCCAAACCCAUGUGAACUUACCAUUUGUUGCCUCGGCAGAAGUUAUAGGUCUUCUUAUAGCUGCUGCCGGUGGACCAUUAAACUCUUGUUAUUUUAUGUAAUCUGAGCGUCUUAUUUUAAUAAGUCAAAACUUUCAACAACGGAUCUCUUGGUUCUGGCAUCGAUGAAGAACGCAGC
This 224-nucleotide unclassified non-coding RNA is filed under the name uncultured fungus. RNAcentral describes it as "sequence contains ITS1, 5.8S rRNA gene". The stretch from base 176 to 224 matches the Rfam family "5.8S ribosomal RNA", at positions 1 to 49 of the family's 154-position model. The record is from RNAcentral. Lineage: Eukaryota; Fungi.